Carassius gibelio (silver crucian carp) is the source of this 2361-nucleotide long non-coding RNA. RefSeq lists it as uncharacterized. The transcript has 2 exons. The record is from RefSeq and is a predicted model, not a curated record. NCBI's taxonomy places the organism in Eukaryota, Metazoa, Chordata, Actinopteri, Cypriniformes, Cyprinidae.
UAUGGUGUUGUUAUGCUGUUGCUAGGGGGUUUUCUAGGGUGUUUUAUAUGGUUUCUAUGGGUUUGCUAGGGUGUUUUGAAUGGUUCUGCAUUGCUAGGUGGUGUUUUGGGUUGUUUUUAGGGAGUUGCUAGGGUGCUUUGAGUUGUUCUUAAUUGCUAGGUGGUUUCUAGGGUGUUGUUAUGCAGGUACUCUGAGUUUUCUAUGGUGUAUUGGAUGGUUUGUAGGGGGUUACUGAAAGGUUUCAGAUUGUGUUCACAAUUGUCUUAAACCUGUGCAAGCCAAAGGCCAGUAAGUCAAUAAUCUCUGAGGACCAAGGGCUGAAACUAACUUUUGCUUUCACAGAUACAGCGAGCAGAUGUUCUGAAGGAUGCUUGAUUCUUCGAGCUGAACGUUUUGACAUGGCAUCCUCUCACAAAGGUCAUAUCUACCGAGGGUCAGAGUUCAGGACUGACUUGGUUUGAAAUAUGGUGUCUUGUUAUAGCCCUAAACACAGUCUCAUACCUUCACUGCCAUAUCUCACCAUCAGGAACAACCUCUAAACAGCCCUCAUAAAAAACAAGGCGGGCUCCUUCACCCCGGACAUGUUCUGGAGGGCUUUUACGGCUUGAUAAAUGGCACUGAACCCGCUCCCGCCCUCCAUCUUCCAUCAAUCGCCAAUCUCGGGUGUUUUGGGGACAGUCUUUACGUCAGGGGGACUAAUCUCCCCAUCGGGGUCCGGCUCACCCGACCGGUCCAUCUGCUUCUGAAGCUCUUCUGUCAGCACAAGAUCGCUUAUCUAGCUGCUGACGUGCUCUUCCGCACAGGGACGUUGAUUGAAAGGCUUCAAAACCAACCCUUCAUCAAACCCCUCAAAGCCCAUUCUGGACUCCUGACAGGAGAGACGUGUUCUCCAUCAGCAUUUAAACCACGUGUGUAGACGCAAUACAGACAUGCAGAACCACAACAGCUGCAGACGUACACGUUCAUACGUGUCCAGCGCAAACAGAACAUGAACACCCACGAUUAUAAAGGGGUGAUGAAAUACCCUAAACAGAGCUUUACAAAGGAGAACAGUGAAAUCAAAUCUAAAAACACUUUGUUACAUGCAAUCUAAUCUAAAAUGUAAUUUAUUCCUGUGAUCAAAGCUGAAUUUUCAGCAUCAUUACUCCAGUCUUAGGUGUCCACAUGAUCUUCAGGAAUCAUGAAAAUAUGUUGAUUUGCUGCUCUGGAAACAUUUUUGAUUAUUAUCAACGUUGAAUCAUAUUUUUGUGGAAAAUGUGAUAAUCAAAGGUUUGGGAUAAGACUGAUUACAGCGUCUCAAUCAAAGCUUUCCAGGUGUUUAACAGGAAGGACUCGUCGUUCUUUAAUACCCAGAUACGGUGAAUAAGACAGACGUGGGAGUUCCUCACAACCACAAAACAGCGUUAUCAUAUGAACGAGUCAGUAAAUUUCACCAAAAUCCCACGAGUCGUAUGUGCACAUUUACAAAAUGUUUGAUGACGGUAAGGUUUUGUUUGAAAGAAACGAUCAAGGAUUCAAUCAAUUGCUCAAAAUGUCAACUUUGAACUUUCUAUUCAUCUGUGAAUCAUGAAAAAUUAAAUAUAUCACGGUUUCCAAGCACCGUUUUCAACAUUUAUGAUAACAGACAUGUUUCAGGAUCAGCAAAUCAUCACAUUAGAAUGACUUCUGGAGGAUACUGAAGUAUAUACCGCAUUGAACACAGAAAUAAAGUACAUUUUAUUCACAUAGAAAACAGUUAUUUGAAUUUUUACUGUAUUUUUGAUCAAAUAAAUGCAGCCUUGGUGAGCAGAAGAGAUUUCUUUCAAAAAACAUGUAAAAGUAUGUUUUUUACUGAAACCUUAACACUACCUUUGCAUUUUAUUUCUUUAAGGUGGGAAUGUUCCUCGGCAUCAUGAGAACACAAACUAAUAGAAGAACCCAAAGAGUUCUGCUUUCUACCUUUCAGAUCCAGACGAGACUGAUCCAAGAACAACAGCACAUUGUGUUCUCCAUCGGGACAGACGGAGGUGUAAAACGCACCACCUGAACAAGAGCACAAUGGAGGAAUUAUCUGCACUUCACUUCAGGCUAAACGUCUCUGAGAACAUCCACCUGUCUGAUAUGACAGCCGUCUGUCUGCACCGAGGACGGAUGAAUAACUGCUCAUUCACAGCCGCUCGCUGGAACAUCAUGUCAAGAUCAUUGUUUCAUCAGUAGAGUGACUGUCAGCUGUUUACAUUUACACUCAGCAUUUACUGUGUUUAGAAGAAAGACUUUCAAACCCUGAUGUUUAUUAUACAUAAAAAUUAUUUAUGUUUUCUAUAGGCUGUAUACAAUGAGAAAAACACAUUUUGCUACAAUUACAGUACAAAUUGGUUACCA